RNAcentral lists this ribosomal RNA (1345 nucleotides) under uncultured bacterium. Its description in RNAcentral is "bacterial SSU rRNA". It matches the Rfam family "Bacterial small subunit ribosomal RNA", at positions 28 to 1381 of the family's 1533-position model. The record is from RNAcentral.
GACGAACGCUGGCGGCGUGCUUAACACAUGCAAGUCGAACGAUGAAGCCUAGCUUGCUAGGUGGAUUAGUGGCGAACGGGUGAGUAAUACGUGAGUGACCUACCUUUGACUCUGGGAUAAGCCUGGGAAACUGGGUCUAAUACCGGAUACGACCAAUCUCCGCAUGGGGUGUUGGUGGAGAGCGUUAUGGAGUGGUUUUAGAUGGGCUCACGGCCUAUCAGCUUGUUGGUGAGGUAAUGGCUUACCAAGGCGACGACGGGUAGCCGGCCUGAGAGGGUGACCGGCCACACUGGGACUGAGACACGGCCCAGACUCCUACGGGAGGCAGCAGUGGGGAAUAUUGCACAAUGGGCGCAAGCCUGAUGCAGCGACGCCGCGUGAGGGAUGACGGCCUUCGGGUUGUAAACCUCUGUUAGCAUCGAAGAAGCGAAAGUGACGGUAGGUGCAGAGAAAGCGCCGGCUAACUACGUGCCAGCAGCCGCGGUAAUACGUAGGGCGCGAGCGUUGUCCGGAAUUAUUGGGCGUAAAGAGCUUGUGGCGGUUGGUCGCGUCUGCUGUGAAGGCUGGGGCUUAACCCUGGUUUUGCAGUGGGUACGGGCUAACUAGAGUGCAGUAGGGGAGACUGGAAUUCCUGGUGUAGCGGUGGAAUGCGCAGAUAUCAGGAGGAACACCGAUGGCGAAGGCAGGUCUCUGGGCUGUAACUGACGCUGAGAAGCGAAAGCAUGGGGAGCGAACAGGAUUAGAUACCCUGGUAGUCCAUGCCGUAAACGUUGGGCACUAGGUGUGGGGGACAUUCCACGUUUUCCGCGCCGUAGCUAACGCAUUAAGUGCCCCGCCUGGGGAGUACGGCCGCAAGGCUAAAACUCAAAGAAAUUGACGGGGGCCCGCACAAGCGGCGGAGCAUGCGGAUUAAUUCGAUGCAGCGCGAAGAACCUUACCAAGGCUUGACAUAUACUGGACUGCGUCAGAGAUGGCGUUUCCCUUCGGGGCUGGUAUACAGGUGGUGCAUGGUUGUCGUCAGCUCGUGUCGUGAGAUGUUGGGUUAAGUCCCGCAACGAGCGCAACCCUCGUUCUAUGUUGCCAGCACGUGAUGGUGGGGACUCAUAGGAGACUGCCGGGGUCAACUCGGAGGAAGGUGGGGAUGACGUCAAAUCAUCAUGCCCCUUAUGUCUUGGGCUUCACGCAUGCUACAAUGGCCGGUACAGAGGGUUGCGAUACUGUGAGGUGGAGCUAAUCCCUAAAAGCCGGUCUCAGUUCGGAUUGGGGUCUGCAACUCGACCCCAUGAAGUCGGAGUCGCUAGUAAUCGCAGAUCAGCAACGCUGCGGUGAAUACGUUCCCGGGCCU